RNAcentral lists this ribosomal RNA (253 nucleotides) under uncultured bacterium. Its description in RNAcentral is "partial 16S ribosomal RNA". It matches the Rfam family "Bacterial small subunit ribosomal RNA", at positions 524 to 776 of the family's 1533-position model. The record is from RNAcentral.
UACGAGGGGGGCGAGCGUUGUUCGGAAUUAUUGGGCGUAAAGGGUGCGUAGGCGGUUUGGUAAGUCUUAUGUGAAAUCUACAGGCUCAACUUGUAGUCUGCAUGAGAAACUGCCGGGCUUGAGUAUGGGAGAGGUGAGUGGAAUUCCUGGUGUAGCGGUGAAAUGCGUAGAUAUCAGGAGGAACACCUGUGGCGAAAGCGGCUCACUGGACCAUAACUGACGCUGAUGCACGAAAGCUAGGGGAGCAAACGGG